RNAcentral lists this ribosomal RNA (160 nucleotides) under uncultured bacterium. RNAcentral describes it as "partial 16S ribosomal RNA". It matches the Rfam family "Bacterial small subunit ribosomal RNA", at positions 333 to 508 of the family's 1533-position model. The record is from RNAcentral.
AGACGUCCUACGGGAGGCAGCAGUGGGGAAUAUUGCACAAUGGGGGAAACCCUGAUGCAGCGACGCCGCGUGGAGGAAGAAAGGUCUUCGGAUUGUAAACUCCUGUUGUUGAGGAAGAUAAUGACGGUACUCAACAAGGAAGUGACGGCUAACUACGUGC